This 2821-nucleotide ribosomal RNA is filed under the name Escherichia coli. RNAcentral's name for it is "partial 23S ribosomal RNA". It matches the Rfam family "Bacterial large subunit ribosomal RNA". Lineage: Bacteria; Pseudomonadati; Pseudomonadota; Gammaproteobacteria; Enterobacterales; Enterobacteriaceae. The record is from RNAcentral.
AGGUGAUAUGAACCGUUAUAACCGGCGAUUUCCGAAUGGGGAAACCCAGUGUGAUUCGUCACACUAUCAUUAACUGAAUCCAUAGGUUAAUGAGGCGAACCGGGGGAACUGAAACAUCUAAGUACCCCGAGGAAAAGAAAUCAACCGAGAUUCCCCCAGUAGCGGCGAGCGAACGGGGAGCAGCCCAGAGCCUGAAUCAGUGUGUGUGUUAGUGGAAGCGUCUGGAAAGGCGCGCGAUACAGGGUGACAGCCCCGUACACAAAAAUGCACAUACUGUGAGCUCGAUGAGUAGGGCGGGACACGUGGUAUCCUGUCUGAAUAUGGGGGGACCAUCCUCCAAGGCUAAAUACUCCUGACUGACCGAUAGUGAACCAGUACCGUGAGGGAAAGGCGAAAAGAACCCCGGCGAGGGGAGUGAAAAAGAACCUGAAACCGUGUACGUACAAGCAGUGGGAGCCUCUUUAUGGGGUGACUGCGUACCUUUUGUAUAAUGGGUCAGCGACUUAUAUUCUGUAGCAAGGUUAACCGAAUAGGGGAGCCGAAGGGAAACCGAGUCUUAACUGGGCGUUAAGUUGCAGGGUAUAGACCCGAAACCCGGUGAUCUAGCCAUGGGCAGGUUGAAGGUUGGGUAACACUAACUGGAGGACCGAACCGACUAAUGUUGAAAAAUUAGCGGAUGACUUGUGGCUGGGGGUGAAAGGCCAAUCAAACCGGGAGAUAGCUGGUUCUCCCCGAAAGCUAUUUAGGUAGCGCCUCGUGAAUUCAUCUCCGGGGGUAGAGCACUGUUUCGGCAAGGGGGUCAUCCCGACUUACCAACCCGAUGCAAACUGCGAAUACCGGAGAAUGUUAUCACGGGAGACACACGGCGGGUGCUAACGUCCGUCGUGAAGAGGGAAACAACCCAGACCGCCAGCUAAGGUCCCAAAGUCAUGGUUAAGUGGGAAACGAUGUGGGAAGGCCCAGACAGCCAGGAUGUUGGCUUAGAAGCAGCCAUCAUUUAAAGAAAGCGUAAUAGCUCACUGGUCGAGUCGGCCUGCGCGGAAGAUGUAACGGGGCUAAACCAUGCACCGAAGCUGCGGCAGCGACACUAAGUGUUGUUGGGUAGGGGAGCGUUCUGUAAGCCUGUGAAGGUGUACUGUGAGGUAUGCUGGAGGUAUCAGAAGUGCGAAUGCUGACAUAAGUAACGAUAAAGCGGGUGAAAAGCCCGCUCGCCGGAAGACCAAGGGUUCCUGUCCAACGUUAAUCGGGGCAGGGUGAGUCGACCCCUAAGGCGAGGCCGAAAGGCGUAGUCGAUGGGAAACAGGUUAAUAUUCCUGUACUUGGUGUUACUGCGAAGGGGGGACGGAGAAGGCUAUGUUGGCCGGGCGACGGUUGUCCCGGUUUAAGCGUGUAGGCUGGUUUUCCAGGCAAAUCCGGAAAAUCAAGGCUGAGGCGUGAUGACGAGGCACUACGGUGCUGAAGCAACAAAUGCCCUGCUUCCAGGAAAAGCCUCUAAGCAUCAGGUAACAUCAAAUCGUACCCCAAACCGACACAGGUGGUCAGGUAGAGAAUACCAAGGCGCUUGAGAGAACUCGGGUGAAGGAACUAGGCAAAAUGGUGCCGUAACUUCGGGAGAAGGCACGCUGAUAUGUAGGUGAAGCGACUUGCUCGUGGAGCUGAAAUCAGUCGAAGAUACCAGCUGGCUGCAACUGUUUAUUAAAAACACAGCACUGUGCAAACACGAAAGUGGACGUAUACGGUGUGACGCCUGCCCGGUGCCGGAAGGUUAAUUGAUGGGGUUAGCGGUAACGCGAAGCUCUUGAUCGAAGCCCCGGUAAACGGCGGCCGUAACUAUAACGGUCCUAAGGUAGCGAAAUUCCUUGUCGGGUAAGUUCCGACCUGCACGAAUGGCGUAAUGAUGGCCAGGCUGUCUCCACCCGAGACUCAGUGAAAUUGAACUCGCUGUGAAGAUGCAGUGUACCCGCGGCAAGACGGAAAGACCCCGUGAACCUUUACUAUAGCUUGACACUGAACAUUGAGCCUUGAUGUGUAGGAUAGGUGGGAGGCUUUGAAGUGUGGACGCCAGUCUGCAUGGAGCCGACCUUGAAAUACCACCCUUUAAUGUUUGAUGUUCUAACGUUGGCCCCUGAUCGGGGUUGCGGACAGUGUCUGGUGGGUAGUUUGACUGGGGCGGUCUCCUCCUAAAGAGUAACGGAGGAGCACGAAGGUUGGCUAAUCCUGGUCGGACAUCAGGAGGUUAGUGCAAUGGCAUAAGCCAGCUUGACUGCGAGCGUGACGGCGCGAGCAGGUGCGAAAGCAGGUCAUAGUGAUCCGGUGGUUCUGAAUGGAAGGGCCAUCGCUCAACGGAUAAAAGGUACUCCGGGGAUAACAGGCUGAUACCGCCCAAGAGUUCAUAUCGACGGCGGUGUUUGGCACCUCGAUGUCGGCUCAUCACAUCCUGGGGCUGAAGUAGGUCCCAAGGGUAUGGCUGUUCGCCAUUUAAAGUGGUACGCGAGCUGGGUUUAGAACGUCGUGAGACAGUUCGGUCCCUAUCUGCCGUGGGCGCUGGAGAACUGAGGGGGGCUGCUCCUAGUACGAGAGGACCGGAGUGGACGCAUCACUGGUGUUCGGGUUGUCAUGCCAAUGGCACUGCCCGGUAGCUAAAUGCGGAAGAGAUAAGUGCUGAAAGCAUCUAAGCACGAAACUUGCCCCGAGAUGAGUUCUCCCUGACUCCUUGAGAGUCCUGAAGGAACGUUGAAGACGACGACGUUGAUAGGCCGGGUGUGUAAGCGCAGCGAUGCGUUGAGCUAACCGGUACUAAUGAACCGUGAGGCUUAACCUU